CUGGUUUCUGGUAAACUCUGCUCUGUGUUGAGUCAGAGACGGUGUGUGAACUGUUUGGACUCAGUGACAGCGACCUGCUGACAACACGUUCCUCUGGGGGGCAUCCUAACAGCCGCGCCAGCACACUGUGGUCUUCAGCUCUUCUGAGACUGAAGCAUGAUGAAAGCGUUGCAUCCACCUCCACAUCGUUGCGUAAGUCAAACCUUCUUCUCCUUGUCUCAAUAUUUGGAGAGACAUUGAUCUGACUGAAGAUGGUCGUGGCGGAACAUGAAGCCCCGGCAGCCUGUGGUGAAGCUGUGCUUCUCUCAGGGUACAUUUGUUGAUGUGACGUCUGAUUGUAGUGUCUGUCCUGGGUGUAGUUUGUACCUCCAUCACACACUGACUGUGGCUGUCGGUGAACACCGUCAGCAGACUGACUCCCAUCACAGCCAGAUGAAAAAAACCUUGGACUGCCUGUUGCUCCGUUUGGCACAAACUCCUGUGGAUUUCUACUGUUUAUUUUCAACUUGGGGAUAGCUGAAAACUGCAAAUCCCUCUCCAGGGUCCUUGAUUUAUCUUUUGAACUAUUUUCCCUUUUGCUUAAACCAUCUUUUUCUUGCAACAUGUAGAAACCCUGAAACACAGCUCCCUGUUUCUGGGACUCUAAGUUACUCUGGUUUUGAAGGACUCUGUCCGUCAUUGGACUGGAUCUUCUCAACUCAGGGCUCAACGUAGGUGUUUGAGAUGGUGAUGGACUUGGCACGUCUUUCUUGGGCAACAGGAGACGGUUGUCUGCUUCCCUGGUCGUCCACACCGGUCACUGGGCCCAAGGAUGUCGGAGAAGAACUCAGUCUGGGCGCUGGAACAGUUAGAGUCGGAGACACACGCGGCAUGGGCUGAAGCUGAUGCUGCAGUGGAGAAAAAUGACUCAAAUGUGGAGUAGAGAGAUAAAGAGAAUCACUCGGCUUCAGGGUGGAAUUUGGCUUCGGAGCAGCAAAAAUAGAGAUGCAGGGCUUUUCAGAGAAAGUUGGAGAGCUGCGCUGGGUUUGAGUUUUGGUUCUUGGGAGAGUUGAUGCUCGUUCUCCGUGAGUUCUCUGUGAUGGCUGAAAUGAUUUACCCCAGGAAGGCUGACCCGACGUCUUUGAAGAGGAAAUAGGAACAAACGAUCUGAAGCCAAAA
This is a long non-coding RNA of Cynoglossus semilaevis (tongue sole), 1158 nucleotides long. RefSeq lists it as uncharacterized. The record is from RefSeq and is a predicted model, not a curated record. Lineage: Eukaryota; Metazoa; Chordata; Actinopteri; Pleuronectiformes; Cynoglossidae. The transcript has 3 exons.